UAGAUAACCUUAAAAAAAAAUCCACAGAACAAGAAUAGAAGAGAAUAUGUCAUUUUGUAGGAAGGUUCGUUUAUAAUCUUAGCCAUUCUUGGUUUGAAAUUGUUUUCCCUCUUUUAUGAUUGCUGGUUUGAUAAUUAUUUGGUACUUAGUUUUCUACUUUUGAAAAUUUUGCUUGGAUUUUACCAUUUCUUAAUCAUACUUUUCAAAUUCUGGUUUAGAUUUUGAAUGAUAUUAAUAGGUGCAAGUGGUGGCCUGUUUAAGCGUAGUUAGGUAGGUUGAGUUCUGGGUCCACAGGCAAUCUUAUCAAAUAGUGUGGCAGAUCAAGACUGUAGAAAGGAAUGAAAGAAAUAAAAGAAGAGUUUCAAACGGAAAAGAAAUGGCUACAAAUUUCCCCCAUUUCUUUUCACCGCCCAAUAGUCUAUGUUAAAGAGGAUUGUAUUGUCAUUCAUUACAAUGACAAGAGGAAGUGGAGUCAUUUAAGAACAGAACUAUGUAAGAACACAUCACAUCAGCUUUUACUAGCAUUAUCUCAUAAAGGGUGAUCUUUUCUGGACUGAACCCAGGAAUUGCAGGGAAAAUGAAUAGGAUCGCUUGCCAAUUGCUCGAUCGUGAUAGUCUCCAAGAAGAACUCCUGCUGGUGCUUGUUGGUAAUUGUGAUCGCUCCAGGCUCUCCAAAAUCCGAGAAUCCAGGUAAGCGAGGACAAAGCAUCUUGAAAGGAUUCAUGUUGGUACAUGGGAAUAAUUUUUGCAGGUAAUUGUAGAGGAAUGUCAAAGUCAUCAUGUGUCGAAUCCGCAUGCUCGUAGUUUGAUCGGAGGUCAACAAGUGUGAUCUCAUUGAAAAACAUAAGUCAUCCAUCUCGACGUGAUACGUGAAUUGCUCAAUAAUACUUCACUAUUAUCGUAGAUGACAAAAAUAACUUAAUGAUCGAGCAUAUUAGAACUAUAAGGUGAGAGGUUCAAUUCUCAAUACUAAAAUAAAUGAUUAUGACAUCGUAAUAAGCUCGAUUAAAGGAAUGAUUAUAUAAAGCGAGAAGCGCCAAGAACAGGAACAGCGGAAGAAAUCUCCAUUAGAAUCCUUUUAAGAAAGCCAUUGAAACCGCCAUUGUCUUUGCCAAACAAUUCAUUCAUCUUUUUCACCAUACAAUCACAUCGGACCUUCAUCACCCACUUUCUCAUUCGAACUUCCCUAAUCGACCUCCAAAUCACCACCGCUCGCGGCGGCCUUCUGCCGCCGAGGCGGGCCGUCGACAACUUCUUCCUCCGCAGAUGGAUCCACCGGCGCGACGGUCGACGGUGGCCGGAGCGGAGAUGGGGUUGAGCCUCGUCUUGCAGCUGUGAUUCAUAAGACUGAGCCAUGUCGGAAGUGUGGGAGAGAUUUGAGGGGUGUGGCCCUAUUUAUAUUGUUUCUUUGUGGAUUUUAGGGAAUUGUUUGGACUUUGUGAAAAUUAAAUUAGCCAUUUUAUUUUUUUUGGGGUU
This is a non-coding RNA of Cucurbita pepo subsp. pepo (vegetable marrow), 1476 nucleotides long. Lineage: Eukaryota; Viridiplantae; Streptophyta; Magnoliopsida; Cucurbitales; Cucurbitaceae. The record is from RefSeq and is a predicted model, not a curated record.